RNAcentral lists this ribosomal RNA (371 nucleotides) under uncultured organism. Its description in RNAcentral is "partial 16S ribosomal RNA". It matches the Rfam family "Bacterial small subunit ribosomal RNA", at positions 527 to 896 of the family's 1533-position model. The record is from RNAcentral.
GUAGGUGGCAAGCGUUGUCCGGAAUUAUUGGGCGUAAAGCGCGCGCAGGCGGUUCUUUAAGUCUGAUGUGAAAGCCCACGGCUCAACCGUGGAGGGUCAUUGGAAACUGGAGAACUUGAGUACAGAAGAGGAAAGCGGAAUUCCACGUGUAGCGGUGAAAUGCGUAGAGAUGCGGAGGAACACCAGUGGCGAAGGCGGCUUUCUGGUCUGUAACUGACGCUGAGGCGCGAAAGCGUGGGGGAGCAAACAGGAUUAGAUACCCUGGUAGUCCACGCCGUAAACGAUGAGUGCUAAGUGUUAGGGGGUUUCCGCCCCUUAGUGCUGCAGCUAACGCAUUAAGCACUCCGCCUGGGAGUACGGCCGCAAGGCUG